CCUGGGCCACUGCCUCCCUUGGCGUGGCCCACCUCUCUCUCUCUGCUUUUUCUUUCCAUAUCAUCAGUAAGCUUUCUUGCAGUGGUUAAGACCUCCGAUUCUUCUUUGUAUCCUUACCAAGAACAGAGGCCCAUGGGAGGUGGGGUCUUCAGACUCUCCUCUGCUAACAUUUUGGUGCCAUGACUUGGGUUUUCUGUAAGUAAGAGAGAUCGUCUCCACAGAUCUCUACCACUCCUUUCCUUUGUGUGGGCACAAAGGACCUAAUCAUUUCUCUGCUCCUACUUUCUUUCUCAAUCCUCUAUCGGUUGAGCAGACUCUUGCUCCUGAUCUCCUCCCUGUCUGACCAUCACUCAAUCUGAGCCUGCCUCUUUGGACCAACACUGGAGAUUCAGAUGGGCCACUGGGCACAGAAAUGUCCCAAUCAAGAUAAACCACCUAAGACUGCCUGCUAUAAACGCCAUCAGCUAGGACACUGGGCAGCCCUAUGCCCCUCAAUCCAAAGGGACCGAGGACCAGAGGCUGCUACUCAGACUGCCCAAGACUGAGGAGGCCCCUCCAGUCGGCCCCAAAACAACAGAUCCACGACAUGGACUGGAACUGAGGGUACAAUUGGCUGUGGCCCAUAAGUCAACAUUUUCUUACUCAAUAUCGGGGCCGCCUGUUCUGCCUUGACUUCCUCCUCUGGACCCUUCUCCUCCCAGACCUGUACCACCAGGGGAGUCACCAGUGAGCCAAUCAGCAGGUCUUUUACCAUGCGCCUCUUCCGUGCCUGGGAAGGAUUUGGAUUCUCCCACAGUUUUUGACAUAUGCCUGACUGUCCCAGCCCACUCCCAGGGAGCGACCCACUACAAAAAUAGAAUGCCUCUCUCUCUCCCUCAAGGAGGGUCACAUGGACGCCAUCCAGGGGGCAACCUCUGGGAAAUUUCAUGCGCCACUAAUGAAGAUAAAAAUUCCUCCAGGCCAGGCUGGCUUCAACAAGUGAACCCACUGGCCCGAGACCAGGGAAAUUCCAGGAAAAGCUGAAAAUGCAACAUCAGUCACAACAGCUUUAAAGAACCCACAUAAAUUUCCCCCAAAGACACAAUAUCCCCUUAGGCCUGAAGCCCUCAUGGGACUUCAACCCAUCAUGUCCAAAUUCCUGUCCCACAGACUCCUUAUCGCCACAAAUUCACCAUGUAGUACCCCAAUAUUAGCAGUCAAGAAAAAGGACAGCACUUACUGCCUGGUCCAGGAUUUGUAUAUCAUUAAUGAGGCCAACAGUGAGGAAAC
Long non-coding RNA from Bos taurus (domestic cattle), 1269 nucleotides. NCBI's taxonomy places the organism in Eukaryota, Metazoa, Chordata, Mammalia, Artiodactyla, Bovidae. The record is from Ensembl.